AUGGAAAUCCCUACUCCUUGCAUAUAUGGGCAUCUCCAUAGCCCGUUGAUUAGCCGCGUCAAUGUGAGACUUUCUCCUUUUUUGUCUUCUCACACAAUCUCCAUCAUCAUAUUCUAUUCCACCCAUAGUGCUAUGUCCAUGGCUCGCGCUCAUAUAUUGCAUGCAAAUUUAAAAAAGUUUGAAAAGGCUAAGUACGAAACAAUUGCUUGGCUUGUCAUCAGGGUUGUGAAUGAUGGGAGCAUUUUGUGUGACGAAAAUGAAGCAUGGACAAACUAUAUGAUUUGUAGGGAUAAGCUUUGUUUGGCUAUGUUAUUUUGA
RNAcentral lists this ribosomal RNA (318 nucleotides) under Triticum aestivum (bread wheat). Its description in RNAcentral is "partial small subunit ribosomal RNA". Lineage: Eukaryota; Viridiplantae; Streptophyta; Magnoliopsida; Poales; Poaceae. The record is from RNAcentral.